Molecule: non-coding RNA, 85 nt
Filed under: Palpitomonas bilix
Lineage: Eukaryota
Source: RNAcentral
AAGGGCUAGUUAGCACACGAUUUUGAUUCUUUUUUUCCCCCAUUUUUUUUUCUUGUUUGUUUUUCCUUUCUUUUUCUUUCUUCUG